AACGAACGCUGGCGGCGCGCCUAAUACAUGCAAGUCGAGCGAGAAGACGUAGCAAUACGUUUGUAAAGCGGCGAACGGGUGAGGAAUACAUGGGUAACCUACCCUCGAGUGGGGAAUAACUAGCCGAAAGGUUAGCUAAUACCGCGUACGCUCCUUGGACUUCGGUUCAGGGAGGAAAGCGAUACCGUGGGUAUCGCGCUCUUGGAUGGGCUCAUGUCCUAUCAGCUUGUUGGGAGGUAACGGCUCACCAAGGCUUCGACGGGUAGCUGGUCUGAGAGGACGAUCAGCCACACUGGCACUGCGACACGGGCCAGACUCCUACGGGAGGCAGCAGUAAGGAAUAUUGCGCAAUGGGCGAAAGCCUGACGCAGCGACGCCGCGUGGGGGAUGAAGGUCUUCGGAUUGUAAACCCCUUUCGGG
This 420-nucleotide ribosomal RNA is filed under the name uncultured bacterium. RNAcentral's name for it is "bacterial SSU rRNA". It matches the Rfam family "Bacterial small subunit ribosomal RNA", at positions 29 to 440 of the family's 1533-position model. The record is from RNAcentral.